RNAcentral lists this ribosomal RNA (434 nucleotides) under uncultured bacterium. RNAcentral's name for it is "partial 16S ribosomal RNA". It matches the Rfam family "Bacterial small subunit ribosomal RNA", at positions 29 to 507 of the family's 1533-position model. The record is from RNAcentral.
AGCGAACGCUGGCGGCAGGCCUAACACAUGCAAGUCGAACGAACCUUUCGGGGUUAGUGGCGGACGGGUGAGUAACACGUGGGAACGUGCCUUUAGGUUCGGAAUAACUCAGGGAAACUUGUGCUAAUACCGAAUGUGCCCUUCGGGGGAAAGAUUUAUCGCCUUUAGAGCGGCCCGCGUCUGAUUAGCUAGUUGGUUGAGGUAAUGGCUCACCAAGGCGACGAUCAGUAGCUGGUCUGAGAGGAUGAUCAGCCACAUUGGGACUGAGACACGGCCCAAACUCCUACGGGAGGCAGCAGUGGGGAAUCUUGCGCAAUGGGCGAAAGCCUGACGCAGCCAUGCCGCGGGAAUGAUGAAGGUCUUAGGAUUGUAAAAUUCUUUCACCGGGGACGAUAAUGACGGUACCCGGAGAAGAAGCCCCGGCUAACUUCGUG